RNAcentral lists this non-coding RNA (27 nucleotides) under Cricetulus griseus (Chinese hamster). The record is from RNAcentral. Lineage: Eukaryota; Metazoa; Chordata; Mammalia; Rodentia; Cricetidae.
GACUGACAUUGCUGAAGGAUCCGGACA